UCCGGCUUAUCACCGGCGGUUUCUUUAGAGUGCCCAACUAAAUGAUGGCAACUAAAGACGAGGGUUGCGCUCGUUGCGGGACUUAACCCAACAUCUCACGACACGAGCUGACGACGGCCAUGCAGCACCUGUCACUUGGCUCCUUGCGGCACCCCUCUGUUUCCAGUGGGUUCCAAGGAUGUCAAGCCUCGGUAAGGUUCUACGCGUAGCGUCAUAUUAAACCACAUCCUCCUCUGCUUGUGCGGGUCCCCGUCAAUUCCUUUGAGUUUUAGCCUUGCGGCCGUACUUCCCAGGCGGCAUACUUAUCGCGUUAGCUUCGACGCACAGGGGGUCGAUACCCCAUACGUCUAGUAUGCAUCGUUUACGGCGUGGACUAC
RNAcentral lists this unclassified non-coding RNA (377 nucleotides) under uncultured bacterium. Its description in RNAcentral is "contains 16S-23S intergenic spacer region". The record is from RNAcentral.